RNAcentral lists this ribosomal RNA (262 nucleotides) under uncultured prokaryote. RNAcentral describes it as "partial 16S ribosomal RNA". It matches the Rfam family "Bacterial small subunit ribosomal RNA", at positions 524 to 784 of the family's 1533-position model. The record is from RNAcentral.
UACGGAGGAUCCGAGCGUUAUCCGGAUUUAUUGGGUUUAAAGGGUGCGCAGGCGGAAGAUUAAGUCGGUGGUGAAAUUUUGCAGCUCAACUGUAAAAGUGCCAUUGAUACUGGUUUUCUUGAGUGUGGAUGAAGUAGGCGGAAUUUGUGGUGUAGCGGUGAAAUGCAUAGAUAUCACGAGGAACUCCGAUUGCGCAGGCAGCUUACUAGGCCAUAACUGACGCUCAGGCACGAAGGCGUGGGGAGUCAAACAGGAUUAGAUA